CCAGAUCAGUGUCAGUCCCCUUGCAGCCAUUGGCUGGGAGCCUGCAUGUUACCUGGAAUGAUAUUUGAAACAUAUCACCCUAGCCGUGCCUUCGCUGUGGGCUGGGAGGCGAGUCAGUCAGAAUCUGCAUUAUGGAAUGUUUUGGAUGACAAGCUUGUAUUUGCAAAAGUACACACCCUGUGGGAGGUGCUCUGUACAUACGCUGAGAUACUGCACAUAAAAUUGCCUCUGAAGCCAAAUAAUCUGAAAACUCGAUCCUCAGCCUUUGAUAAUUUCAGCUGUUUUAUGAAAGUCCUCCAAGUGGAUGAAAGUAUCAUCAAGCCGGAGCAAGAGUUUUUCAUUGCCCUAUUUGAGAAGAGCUACUUGAAUGACUUUUAUAUUGAGGAUAGAGAUGCAUUCUUCAAUCCAGCCACCAGAAGCCACAUUGUAAGUCUAAACAGAGUUUAGCUGCUGUCUUGGGGGUGAUUUAGAACCUGCUGUUGAAUUAUCACUAUUUUGGUUUGUUUGGUUUGGUUUGGUUUUUAAAAGCUGCCCAUAAAAAGGAAAAAAGGGAAAGAAAAGAAAUAUGACUACAGAUUCCUGUUAGGAUAGUAAACAGUGGCUGGUUAGUUACCCUGUAUAAACCACACACUCUCUUAGAAUCUUUUUAGGUUUACUUCAUCCUUUCUCAGGUGAAGUAUCAAAUAAGGGACAGUGUUAAAAAAAAAUUCGGGAUUAACAGGCUUGUGAGCUCCGGGAUCUGCAAGGUAGCUUUCCCUCCCCAUGGUGUAAGUCAAAUGGCAGAAAUGAAAUAAAGCACCUCAUGUAUCCUCUGAUGUUAACAGGAAAAGGCUAAUCUUCUUGACCUUGUUUCUUCCUGGGUAAAAUUAAGAUAAUGUGUCAGGAGGCGACAAGCUCAUUUAGGGCAGGAACUAUGUUGUCGUGUUCACUGCUGAAUCCCAGGAACCGGGAAGGCUGAGUUUAACGAGUGAGUGAAUGAAUGAACUGUAGUUCCCCCAGAGUUACCAUGUGGGGCAGUGCGGAUUAGCAGCUAAGAGCAUAGACUCGAGAGGGGAGGGUACAGCUCAAGUAAUGGGGUGCAUGCUUAGCACGCGUAAGUUCCUGUGUUCAGCCCCCAACACCUCCUCUAAAAUAGACAAAUAACCCUAAUUACGUCCCCACGCCCCACCAGAAUUACCUUAUUAUCUCCCCAACCACCAAAAAAAAAAAAAAAAAAGA
Molecule: non-coding RNA, 1218 nt
Organism: Vicugna pacos (alpaca)
Lineage: Eukaryota; Metazoa; Chordata; Mammalia; Artiodactyla; Camelidae
Source: RefSeq, a predicted model, not a curated record